AUUUUCCCUCAUCGAUUCUCCGGCGGAAAACCGAAAAAAGGUAAUUCAUAAUCUGAACCUAAACCUUUUCCGAUAUCAUUUUUAUUGUUGGCCACAGAAGGUAGGAAAAGAUAACACUCUGGUGUCCAAGUCACUAAGGGCAUGGCUGAGCUUAAGACUUCUGGGAGACCUAUAGACCAGUUGUUGGAGAAGGUUCUCUGCAUGAACAUUCUAUCUUCUGAUUACUUCAGAGACCUUUUGCGCCUGAAAACUUAUCAUGAAGUGAUUGAUGAAAUCUAUAAUCAAGUUGACCAUGUGGAACCAUGGAUGACUGGCAACUGUCGUGGUCCUUCAACAGCCUUCUGCCUUCUCUACAAGUUCUUCACAAUGAAACUUACUGUCAAGCAAAUGCAUGGCCUGUUAAAGCAUCCAGAUUCUCCUUACAUUAGAGCUAUUGGGUUCCUUUAUCUGAGAUAUCUUGGUGAUUUUAAGACAUUAUGGGGUUGGUAUGAGCCUUACCUCAAAGAUGAUGAGGAAUUCUCUCCUGGAUCCAGUGGGCAAAUGACCACAAUGGGUGUAUAUGUGCGUGACUUAUUUCUCGGGCAGUAUUAUUUUGACACACUACUACCCCGCAUUCCUGUUCCUGUCGUGCGGACAGCAGUUGCCAGUCUCGAAAAAAUGAAUCUGCCGACCAAACUUUCUGGGUCGAUUGGGGAUUCUAGUCGUGGAUCUGAGGAAACUUCUCGCCGGCCACCUUCUGUCAAAGCUUCCCUUUCAGUGUCCUUUGGUCAGCGGGCACCUCAUCGUGCAUCAACUAGAGAUUCAUCUCCCAUCCGAAGAACAAUUGCACCACCAUCCUAUGAUAAGGAUGGUGCAAAUGGUUCAAGACGUUCCCCCAGCAUGCGCCGGAGUCAAAGCCGUGAUUUAUCUGACCGGGAAAAUUCUGAAAGGGACAGGGGCCGGGACAGGGACAGGGACAGGGACA
This 964-nucleotide unclassified non-coding RNA is filed under the name Hevea brasiliensis (rubber tree). The record is from RNAcentral. Lineage: Eukaryota; Viridiplantae; Streptophyta; Magnoliopsida; Malpighiales; Euphorbiaceae.